AGUUUUUCCGUGAUGAUUUACGAUUUUACCUUGGGACACCUAUGAUAGAACUGUGAUUAGUGUAAAGUUAUACUUAGCUGAUUGAA
Molecule: small nucleolar RNA, 86 nt
Filed under: Drosophila guanche
Lineage: Eukaryota; Metazoa; Arthropoda; Insecta; Diptera; Drosophilidae
Description: small nucleolar RNA Me28S-Gm3113
Rfam family: Small nucleolar RNA Me28S-Gm3113
About the family: Me28S-Gm3113 is a member of the C/D class of snoRNA which contain the C (UGAUGA) and D (CUGA) box motifs. This family directs 2'-O-methylation of 28S G-3113.
Source: RNAcentral